GGUGUAGCUCAGUGGUAGAGCACUUGCCUAGAAUGCAUGAGGCACUGGGUUCGAUCCUCAGCACC
This is a non-coding RNA of Ictidomys tridecemlineatus (thirteen-lined ground squirrel), 65 nucleotides long. NCBI's taxonomy places the organism in Eukaryota, Metazoa, Chordata, Mammalia, Rodentia, Sciuridae. The record is from Rfam.